Molecule: ribosomal RNA, 468 nt
Filed under: uncultured bacterium
Lineage: Bacteria
Description: partial 16S ribosomal RNA
Rfam family: Bacterial small subunit ribosomal RNA
Source: RNAcentral
GACGAACGCUGGCGGCGUGCUUAACACAUGCAAGUCGAACGGAAAGGCCCUGCUUUUGUGGGGUGCUCGAGUGGCGAACGGGUGAGUAACACGUGAGUAACCUGCCCUUGACUUUGGGAUAACUUCAGGAAACUGUGGCUAAUACCGGAUAGGAGCUCCUGCUGCAUGGUGGGGGUUGGAAAGUUUCGUCGGUUGGGGAUGGACUCGCGGCUUAUCAGCUUGUUGGUGGGGUAGUGGCUUACCAAGGCUUUGACGGGUAGCCGGCCUGAGAGGGUGACCGGCAAAAUUGGGACUGAGAUACGGCCAAGACUCCUACGGGAGGAAGCAGUGGGGAAUAUUGAAAAAUGGGCGGAAGCCUGAUGCAGCAACGCCGCGUGCGGGAUGACGGCCUUCGGGUUGUAAACCGCUUUCGCCUGUGACGAAGCGUGAGUGACGGUAAUGGGUAAAGAAGCACCGGCUAACUACGUG